RNAcentral lists this ribosomal RNA (433 nucleotides) under uncultured bacterium. RNAcentral's name for it is "partial 16S ribosomal RNA". It matches the Rfam family "Bacterial small subunit ribosomal RNA", at positions 29 to 507 of the family's 1533-position model. The record is from RNAcentral.
AAUGAACGCUGGCGGCAUGCCUAACACAUGCAAGUCGAACGAGACCUCCGGGUCUUGUCGCGCACGGGUGCGUCACGCGUCGGAACCUGCACUUAGGUUCGGCAUAACUCCCCGACAGGGGUGCUAAUACCGGAUAAUGUCUUCUGCCCAAAGAUAUAUCGCGUUUGGAUGGGCCCGCGUUGGAUUAGCUAGUUCGUAGGGUAAAAGCAUACCAAGGGCCCGAUUCAUAGCUUGGUUGAGAGGCUGGUCAGCCACACUGGGACUGAGACCCGGCCCAGAAUCCUACGGGAGGCGGGAGUGGGGGAUAUUGGAAAACGGCCGAAGGCCUGAACCAGCAAGGACGCGAGAGUGAUGUAGGCCGGAGGGUUGUAAAGCGCAAGUACCCGGGAUGAUAAUGACGGUACCGGGAGAAAAAGCCCCGGCUAACUACGUG